UAACUGGGCGUUAAGUUGCAGGGUAUAGACCCGAAACCCGGUGAUCUAGCCAUGGGCAGGUUGAAGGUUGGGUAACACUAACUGGAGGACCGAACCGACUAAUGUUGAAAAAUUAGCGGAUGACUUGUGGCUGGGGGUGAAAGGCCAAUCAAACCGGGAGAUAGCUGGUUCUCCCCGAAAGCUAUUUAGGUAGCGCCUCGUGAAUUCAUCUCCGGGGGUAGAGCACUGUUUCGGCAAGGGGGUCAUCCCGACUUACCAACCCGAUGCAAACUGCGAAUACCGGAGAAUGUUAUCACGGGAGACACACGGCGGGUGCUAACGUCCGUCGUGAAGAGGGAAACAACCCAGACCGCCAGCUAAGGUCCCAAAGUCAUGGUUAAGUGGGAAACGAUGUGGGAAGGCCCAGACAGCCAGGAUGUUGGCUUAGAAGCAGCCAUCAUUUAAAGAAAGCGUAAUAGCUCACUGGUCGAGUCGGCCUGCGC
This 482-nucleotide ribosomal RNA is filed under the name Escherichia coli. Its description in RNAcentral is "partial 23S ribosomal RNA". It matches the Rfam family "Bacterial large subunit ribosomal RNA", at positions 685 to 1164 of the family's 2925-position model. Lineage: Bacteria; Pseudomonadati; Pseudomonadota; Gammaproteobacteria; Enterobacterales; Enterobacteriaceae. The record is from RNAcentral.